CAAACACAAAGCAGUCUGAGCAGCUUGGUUUUCAUGAGCAACAGUAUCUGCUUCAUUACAGAUUUCAGCUUGAGACUUGCAAGGGGUUCCCACAUCUGAUCCACAGCUGCCAUCCGGACACAUAAACUCUGAGGAACUUCAGUGUGACUGCCUUGUGCUAUGCAGACCCUGGGCAUUGCAGGCUUGGAGAAUUCCCGUCAUAGGAAUGUUCCCUACCUCCCCUCCUGCCUCACCAAUGCUGCAACCAAGAAUGCUGUAGCUGCUUGGGAGGGGUGCCAAAAAGAACCCCUACAGUAUAUGGGGAGCUGACCUUGGGCUGUUUGGCUGUGUGCCACAGGCCAAGACACCAUCUUCCUGUAAAAUAAACACCUCCUUGUCCUUAGCACAGCAACAUCUGUGAAGGA
Molecule: long non-coding RNA, 404 nt
Organism: Neopsephotus bourkii (Bourke's parrot)
Lineage: Eukaryota; Metazoa; Chordata; Aves; Psittaciformes; Psittacidae
Exons: 2
Source: RefSeq, a predicted model, not a curated record